CCGGCGCACGGGUGAGUAACACGUAUCCAACCUGCCGUCUACUCUUGGACAGCCUUCUGAAAGGAAGAUUAAUACAAGAUGGCAUCAUGAGUCCGCAUGUUCACAUGAUUAAAGGUAUUCCGGUAGACGAUGGGGAUGCGUUCCAUUAGAUAGUAGGCGGGGUAACGGCCCACCUAGUCUUCGAUGGAUAGGGGUUCUGAGAGGAAGGUCCCCCACAUUGGAACUGAGACACGGCCAAACUCCUACGGGAGGCAGCAUG
Molecule: ribosomal RNA, 259 nt
Filed under: uncultured bacterium
Lineage: Bacteria
Description: partial 16S ribosomal RNA
Rfam family: Bacterial small subunit ribosomal RNA
Source: RNAcentral